This is a long non-coding RNA of Pan troglodytes (chimpanzee), 476 nucleotides long. RefSeq lists it as uncharacterized. NCBI's taxonomy places the organism in Eukaryota, Metazoa, Chordata, Mammalia, Primates, Hominidae. The record is from RefSeq and is a predicted model, not a curated record. The transcript is spliced from 3 exons.
ACAGGCAACCCAGGUCUUCUUCCAGAUUGUGGAAGUUUUGGUCUUUCAUUCUUCACAAUAAAUCUUGCUGCUGCUCACUGUUUGUGUCCGGCCCGUCUUUAAGAGCUGAAACACUCACGGCAAAAGUCCGCAGCUCCAUUCUUGAAGUCAGCGAGACCACGAAUCCACCGGAAGGAACCAACUCUGGACACAAUAGGGGCUUAUGAUCAGGCAAAGGAGACACCAGGAAAGAGGAGCAGAGUGGCUAGGGCAGUGCACUGCAGAUGCAUGGACGAAAGCUCGCAGCGACACAGGCAUGGGGUGUCUAAUCAGGGAUGAGUGUGAGCAGCAGAAUGAGGAGCAUGCUUUCCCAGAGGAAGAGAGGAAGCCACUGGAGAGAUGAAGGAUGCCAUGGACAGAUCAGAAUUGCUGAACGAUAUAAUUUUUCUUUUCCCUGAAGAACUUCUGUCAACACUUCUUGAAGAGCUGGUCUACCG